AGACAGCAGACAUGAACUUAGAGACACUGAGAGGACAUGGAUCAUCCAACACUGAUGCUGCUGGUGACUCUCUGCAGUUCAGGUACGACUCUGUUCUGCUCUUUAUCAAUCAAUGCAUGUGUGAUCUGACAUCAGAAGGUAUUCAAUGUAUUUUUAUGCUCACAUCAACAUUCAUGUUCGACCAGCAGGUUCAGAGGAAUUCAGGCUGGUGGGAGGAGCCAGCAGCUGCACUGGGAGACUGGAGAGGAAGGUUCUGGAAGAAUGGAAAAAAGAGGUUGAAGACAAGUUUAAUAUGAGCUGGACCUUGGAGCGUGUGGAUGAUGUUUGCAAAUCCCUCGACUGUGGAUCUGUGGUGUCUAUGAGGAGAAUUGAAGGAACAUCUGAUUCUUAUAGAAUUAAUUUGGAGAUCAUCUGUUCAGGUCAGUGUCAUCA
This 432-nucleotide long non-coding RNA is filed under the name Oryzias javanicus (javanese ricefish). RNAcentral describes it as "lncRNA (ENSOJAG00000022724.1)". Lineage: Eukaryota; Metazoa; Chordata; Actinopteri; Beloniformes; Adrianichthyidae. The record is from RNAcentral.